CUGCUCAAAGGCUGCAGAAAAGAUUCAUCUAUUCCUUAUCAAACGAGGUGGAAUACAUGACUAUUUAUAGGGCUUCUAAACCCUAACUCCUAAUAGGACUCUUACUUAAGACUCCUACUUCUAAACAACUCCUAAUAGGACUCCUACUCAAAACUCCUACUUCUAACCAACUCCUAAUAGGACUCCUACUCAAGACUCCUAUUCCUUUACAACUCCUAAUUCAUCUAUAAGAAAAAACCUCCUACAUGAAUGCCCCUCUCAAUUAGGACUCUCCUAGCUAGAGUCCUAACAGAAUGUCCCUCUCAAUUAGGACUCUCCUAGCUAGAGUCCUAACAGUUUUACAUGAAUGUCCCUCUCAAUUAGGACUCUCCAAGCUAGAGUCCUAACAGUUUUACAUGAAUGUCCCUCUCAAUUAGGACUCUCCAAGCUAGAGUCCUAACAGACCCGCCCUCUUCAAAUCAGCCUUGUCCUCGAGACUGAUGAUUCGUGAAUUCUAGGAAUUUGAUCUUCAAGUCGUCAUAGUUCUCCCAAGUGGCAUCUUC
This 542-nucleotide long non-coding RNA is filed under the name Musa acuminata (dwarf banana). RNAcentral's name for it is "long non-coding RNA (MACU_LNC007599)". Lineage: Eukaryota; Viridiplantae; Streptophyta; Magnoliopsida; Zingiberales; Musaceae. The record is from RNAcentral.